GGCCGCCUGGCGAAAUGGCAUCGCGUCUGACUACGAUGAUACUGUUUGUGCAUAGAUUCUGAAUCAGGAGAUUGCAGGUUUGACCCCUGCGGUGGUCA
Crucibulum laeve is the source of this 98-nucleotide non-coding RNA. The record is from the annotation of a GenBank genome assembly. Lineage: Eukaryota; Fungi; Basidiomycota; Agaricomycetes; Agaricales; Nidulariaceae.